This 495-nucleotide ribosomal RNA is filed under the name uncultured bacterium. RNAcentral describes it as "partial 16S ribosomal RNA". It matches the Rfam family "Bacterial small subunit ribosomal RNA", at positions 30 to 507 of the family's 1533-position model. The record is from RNAcentral.
UGACCGCUGGCGGCGUGCCUCCUACAUGCAAGUCGAGCGACCGGACGAGAAGCUUGCUUCUCUGAUGUUAGCGGCGGACGGGUGAGUAACACGUGGAUAACCUACCUAUAAGACUGGGAUAACUUCGGGAAACCGGAGCUAAUACCGGAUAAUAUUUUGAACCGCAUGGUUCAAAAGUGAAAGACGGUCUUGCUGUCACUUAUAGAUGGAUCCGCGCUGCAUUAGCUAGUUGGUAAGGUAACGGCUUACCAAGGCAACGAUGCAUAGCCGACCUGAGAGGGUGAUCGGCCACACUGGAACUGAGACACGGUCCAGACUCCUACGGGAGGCAGCAGUAGGGAAUCUUCCGCAAUGGGCGAAAGCCUGACGGAGCAACGCCGCGUGAGUGAUGAAGGUCUUCGGAUCGUAAAACUCUGUUAUUAGGGAAGAACAUAUGUGUAAGUAACUGUGCACAUCUUGACGGUACCUAAUCAGAAAGCCACGGCUAACUACGUG